This 501-nucleotide ribosomal RNA is filed under the name uncultured bacterium. RNAcentral's name for it is "partial 16S ribosomal RNA". It matches the Rfam family "Bacterial small subunit ribosomal RNA", at positions 30 to 523 of the family's 1533-position model. The record is from RNAcentral.
AUUGAACGCUGGCGGCAGGCUUAACACAUGCAAGUCGAGCGGAGAGAGGUAGCUUGCUACUGAUCUUAGCGGCGGACGGGUGAGUAAUGCUUAGGAAUCUGCCUAUUAGUGGGGGACAACAUUUCGAAAGGAAUGCUAAUACCGCAUACGUCCUACGGGAGAAAGCAGGGGAUCUUCGGACCUUGCGCUAAUAGAUGAGCCUACGUCGGAUUAGCUAGUUGGUGGGGUAAAGGCCUACCAAGGCGACGAUCUGUAGCGGGUCUGAGAGGAUGAUCCGCCACACUGGGACUGAGACACGGCCCAGACUCCUACGGGAGGCAGCAGUGGGGAAUAUUGGACAAUGGGCGGAAGCCUGAUCCAGCCAUGCCGCGUGUGUGAAGAAGGCCUUAUGGUUGCAAAGCACUUUAAGCGGGGAGGAGGCUACUUUAGUUAAUACCUAGAGAUAGUGGACGUUACUCGCAGAAUAAGCACCGGCUAACUCUGUGCCAGCAGCCGCCGUAA